This 107-nucleotide ribosomal RNA is filed under the name Nematodirus battus. RNAcentral's name for it is "partial 28S ribosomal RNA". It matches the Rfam family "Eukaryotic large subunit ribosomal RNA", at positions 1 to 103 of the family's 3401-position model. The record is from RNAcentral. Lineage: Eukaryota; Metazoa; Nematoda; Chromadorea; Rhabditida; Molineidae.
UUGCAACCUGAGCUCAGGCGUGACUACCCGCUGAACUUAAGCAUAUCACUUAGCGNNAGGAAAAGAAACUAACAAGGAUUCCCUCAGUAACGGCGAGUGAACGGGGA